This 423-nucleotide ribosomal RNA is filed under the name Rhinella marina group sp. ABGD cluster 38. RNAcentral's name for it is "partial large subunit ribosomal RNA". It matches the Rfam family "Bacterial large subunit ribosomal RNA", at positions 1835 to 2457 of the family's 2925-position model. Lineage: Eukaryota; Metazoa; Chordata; Amphibia; Anura; Bufonidae. The record is from RNAcentral.
CUUGACUCUUAUAAGAGGUCCAGCCUGCCCAGUGACCAUGUUCAACGGCCGCGGUAUCCUAACCGUGCGAAGGUAGCGUAAUCACUUGUUCUUUAAAUGUGGACUAGUAUGAAUGGCACCACGAAGGUUAUACUGUCUCCUUUUUCUAAUCAGUGAAACUAAUCUCCCCGUGAAGAAGCGAGGAUAUACCUAUAAGACGAGAAGACCCUAUGGAGCUUUAAACAACACAGCAAUUACCUGCUAAACUAAGAAGUUUCUGAACAUUUUCAAUCUUUUAAGUAAUCUGACUGCAAGUUUUUGGUUGGGGUGACCACGGAGCAUAACACAACCUCCAUGUUGAAAGAAUUCUUUCUAAGCCAAGAACAACCUUUCUAAGCAUCAAUAUAUUGACAUCCAUUGACCCAAUACAUUUGACCAACGAAC